AAAAUUUUUAAAAAUAAAAUUAAUAUAAAUUUAAUGGGGGUUAAAGUAUAUUAAUAGAAAAAAUUAAAAAUUUUAUAGUGAAUUAGUAUUGUAAAAGAAUAUUUGAAAUAAAAUGAAAAUAAAAUUAUUUAAAAGUAAUUUUUAUUUAAUGUAUCUUGUGUAUCAGAGUUUAUUAAUUAAUUUUUAAUGUUUUAAAAUUCUCGAAUUUAAAAGAGAUAAUUAAUUAAUAAAGUUAUUGUUGAAUAAAUAUUUUUAAUAAUUAAUUUGAAAUGAAAUGUUAAUCGUUUUUAAAUAUAUCUAGUUUUUUUAGAAAAAAAUUUAAUUUUAAAUUUAUAUAAUUAUUAAUUAAUUUAUUAAUUAGUAAUUUAUAUUAAAUUUUAUAUUUUAAGGGAUAAGCUUUAAAUUAAAUUUAUAUAAUUAAUAAAAAUUUUUAUUUAAAAUUUAUAUAAUUUAUAUUGUUAAUUAAUUAUAGUUUAUUAUAAAUAAUUUUAUUUAAAAUAAAAUUUAAAUUAAGAUUUAUAUUUUUAUAAAAAAAAAAAUUAUAAUUAAUUAAAUUUAAUUAUAAUGAUAAAAUUAGUAUAUAAAAAUGAUUAAACAAUAAUAAAUUUAUUUAGUAAAUUGUUUAAAAGGAAUUCGGCAAAUAUAUAUAUUCACUUGUUUAUCAAAAACAUGUCUUUUUGAAAAUAAUAUAAAGUCUAAUCUGCCCACUGAUAAAUUAUUAAAGGGCUGCAGUAUUUUGACUGUACAAAGGUAGCAUAAUCAUUAGUCAUUUAAUUGAUGACUUGUAUGAAAGAUUGGAUGAAAUAUAAACUGUCUCUUAAGUAAAUUAUAAAAUUUAAUUUUUUAGUUAAAAAGUUAAAAUAAAUUAAAAAGACGAGAAGACCCUAUAGAGUUUUAUAUUUAAUUGAAUGAGAAAUUAUUUAUAAAUUUAUUAAUUAAAAUUUAGUUAAAUAUUAUGUUGGGGUGAUAGAAAAAUAAAAUUAACUUUUUUUUUAUUUAAACAUAUAUAAGUGAAUAAAUGAUCCAAUAAUAUUGAUUAUAAGAAAAAAUUACCUUAGGGAUAACAGCGUAAUUUUUUUUUUUAGUUCGAAUAAAAAAAAAAGUUUGCGACCUCGAUGUUGGAUUAAGAUAAAAAUUAAAUGCAGAAGUUUAAAUUUUUGAUCUGUUCGAUCAUUAAAAUCUUACAUGAUCUGAGUUCAAACCGGUGUAAGCCAGGUUGGUUUCUAUCUUUUAAUAAAAGAAAUAUUUUAGUACGAAAGGAUUAAAUAUUUAAAUUAAUAUUUAUAUUUAUUUGAAUUUUAUUAAAUUAAU
This 1311-nucleotide ribosomal RNA is filed under the name Calyptra minuticornis. RNAcentral describes it as "16S ribosomal RNA". Lineage: Eukaryota; Metazoa; Arthropoda; Insecta; Lepidoptera; Erebidae. The record is from RNAcentral.